RNAcentral lists this long non-coding RNA (1197 nucleotides) under Macaca mulatta (Rhesus monkey). RNAcentral describes it as "lncRNA (ENSMMUG00000053641.1)". The record is from RNAcentral. Lineage: Eukaryota; Metazoa; Chordata; Mammalia; Primates; Cercopithecidae.
AUGGCAGAAAUCACGCAGACUCUGAUUCCCGCCGAGAACCAGGCUAAAGAACCACUCAUGGCAAGACGGGGCCCACCGGCCUGCUGGCUCCUCACCAAACUCUACUCCGCACUGACUGUGGGCUCUUGUUCUAGAGGCCCCCGCAUCCUCAGGAUGAAAUCCUCUGAUUCAACAGAAAUCUGGAAGGGUUCACAGCUUGGCCCAGAGAAGAUCGUUUUAAAUCUACAGCUUUAAAAUGUGGUUGAAAAGGAGCCCAGGUUGGAUCCUGCCAGCAGGUCUGCUGGCCGCUGUUACCUCCCCACUGUCAAUGCCUAGGUCUCUUCCUCCAGCCCUGUUUCAGCCUGUCCUUGAGGAUUUGCUUCACCUCAUUUACUGAGCCUGCCACAGAUUCAUUACCUGGCAUCAGAGCUCCCCUCUCACUGCGCCUGCCCAGAGGGGUGCCAGUAUACUAGCCAGAUGCCGCUGGAGGGACUCCACAAUAAAGCCUGGCUAUUGAAGACUUCAACACUCUCAUAAAGUCACUUUGCCAGCUGUAGAGCACACAAGUGCCCGCAGAUCCAAGCCUCCUACCUUCCCCAAAGAAACACCUUGGAUAAAGCCUUGGGAUAUCAUCCACAUGGCUCCAGCCAACACAUGAAUUCCCUUACACCAGCACAUGGUCUCUCUUUCCUGUUCAUUCACUUUGGAAGACAGUCCUUGAAAUGACAAGGCCUGGAGUGUCUUGUACAACUACCGCCAAUCCGGUUUCCAGCAGAGGCUUGUGGGCUAGGGAGUGUAUCGAUUUGUAUUGUUAAAGAAAUUUCCUGCUCCUCUCAGUGUCAGCUGAAGGGCCCUCUGCAGUCAUUCUCCUAUUUUGAGAGAAGUGAAACAAGAGGAGACCAACUAACUCCUGGUUCCUACCUACGGGGUGUUUAGACCAGUGACAAUGUUAGUCCUACAAUUUGGAUUUAUUUGUUUAUUUAUUUUUUAAUCACCGCCAUUUCUCCAAGUACAAAGUCUGUGUCUAUAAAGCAAUUAGAUAUCUUCCAUAUGUUACACCGGCAAGUCCAUCUCAUCAUUUUACAGCGGGAUGGUGACUUCCUUUAGUCCCCCAUACUGACCGCGGUCCCUCACCUACUGACUGACUGACUUGUAAAUCUGCCCCCACCCACUUGUCUGUCCUUUGAAGGCAAAUUCGCCAACGGGAACACAGUAGUU